UAAUGUAUCAAUUGAGAAAGCCCCUAAUCUCCAAACACUCUUCUCAAACAAUCUCUACGUCUUCACCCUAAGUUAUCUUCAUUUUCUUUUUUUUUUGAUAAUUGUGCGGUUAAUGCCCAGGAAACAGAUUAAAUAAAGUCUGGGAGAAGAAUUCCCCAUUACAUUAUUACUAAGAACCUGAACUAUAGAAACUGUGGCACACUGACAUUAGUAAAAUAUGGGCAUGAAUCGUUAAUUUUGCAAAAUGAAAUUUUGUUCUUCCAAAGCAAAAACAUAACAGAUCUGGGUUUCAUAAGCAAAAACUUUGUUCUACAUGUUCUUCUUUCAUCCAACAUUUCCCUUUCACAGCCUCUUUUCUUCUUAGUUCUGAUUGGGUGAAAAAAUUGAAUUUCAUUGCAGAUCUGGGAUUGAAGAAGAAGUGGGCUUCAUUGCAGAUCUGAGGUUAGGGUUGCGGUGGGAGAGAGAAACCCAAUCCUCCCCAACCUCAACACCACCAUCCAACGAGAAACCCAUAAAUCUAUCACCAAGCUUCAACCUUUUCUCUGAUAUAUGUAGUGUCCCUCCCGGAUCUGCCCCCAAUUCGUGAAAACCACAUCAGGGUCCGCAAAGUAUGAAUCUUUCUGGUUCAGAACCGGUCCAGGAAGACCCAUGUACCCAUGAGAGAGGCUUGGGAAAUAGGUGUUUGCGGCUAUGACGAAAGCAAUACCAUCGCUGGAAGGGCAACAAGAUGACGAGAUGAUUGAGAAGGUGAAGCGGCAUGAGAAAGAAGAAGUGGAGUUUGUGAAAGGAUCAAGAAAUCGAACUGGGUGUGCAUAGAAAGCUCUGAAUCUUAUUUGAUCUGGAUUAUGGAAGGUUAAAUGGGGUUUUGACUUUGGUAAGAGAGACGUUGAUGAAGAAGAUGAAGAUGAAGGAUGAAUUUCUGGGUUAAGGUGAAGCUUAAUCUCUUUUCCUUAAUGUGAAAACCCUAAAACGCAAAGUUUCAUGAAAUUGGGUUACCACUUAACGAAAUUAUAAAAAUGUUAGGACUAUAACAUAAUUAAUACAAACUAUUUUUUUUGUU
This is a long non-coding RNA of Lotus japonicus, 1060 nucleotides long. RefSeq lists it as uncharacterized. The record is from RefSeq and is a predicted model, not a curated record. The transcript is spliced from 2 exons. Lineage: Eukaryota; Viridiplantae; Streptophyta; Magnoliopsida; Fabales; Fabaceae.